Molecule: microRNA, 19 nt
Filed under: Rattus norvegicus (Norway rat)
Lineage: Eukaryota; Metazoa; Chordata; Mammalia; Rodentia; Muridae
Description: rno-miR-347
Gene: rno-miR-347
Source: miRBase by way of RNAcentral
UGUCCCUCUGGGUCGCCCA